Molecule: non-coding RNA, 318 nt
Organism: Podarcis muralis (Common wall lizard)
Lineage: Eukaryota; Metazoa; Chordata; Lepidosauria; Squamata; Lacertidae
Source: RefSeq, a predicted model, not a curated record
CUGGGAAGAUCCGAAACCAGGAAGAUCAAGUAUUUUCUAAAGACUGGAUUUCCCCCUCUCUACCUAUUCAUCUGCCAUCCGAGGAUAACACUCCAUUCAUCUAAUGUGAUGGACUCUACUCCAGAUAAGCUUAUAGCCACAGUGAUGGAACUGAAUUAAAUACACACCUUCAGAAAAGAAGCUACUUGUUUGGCGGAGAUGCCUUCGACUUUCCCAAGGUCCUCUACCUGAGAAAAGGAGGAAGGAGAAAUGUGUAGGUUACACAAAGUUGCAAAGUCAUGGAGAUACUUAAUUAUUAAAUUUGUAUACCACCCCUCA